RNAcentral lists this long non-coding RNA (5409 nucleotides) under Homo sapiens (human). Its description in RNAcentral is "non-protein coding MIR155HG:2". The stretch from base 357 to 421 matches the Rfam family "mir-155 microRNA precursor family". Lineage: Eukaryota; Metazoa; Chordata; Mammalia; Primates; Hominidae. The record is from RNAcentral.
CUGGUCGGUUAUGAGUCACAAGUGAGUUAUAAAAGGGUCGCACGUUCGCAGGCGCGGGCUUCCUGUGCGCGGCCGAGCCCGGGCCCAGCGCCGCCUGCAGCCUCGGGAAGGGAGCGGAUAGCGGAGCCCCGAGCCGCCCGCAGAGCAAGCGCGGGGAACCAAGGAGACGCUCCUGGCACUGCAGAUAACUUGUCUGCAUUUCAAGAACAACCUACCAGAGACCUUACCUGUCACCUUGGCUCUCCCACCCAAUGGAGAUGGCUCUAAUGGUGGCACAAACCAGGAAGGGGAAAUCUGUGGUUUAAAUUCUUUAUGCCUCAUCCUCUGAGUGCUGAAGGCUUGCUGUAGGCUGUAUGCUGUUAAUGCUAAUCGUGAUAGGGGUUUUUGCCUCCAACUGACUCCUACAUAUUAGCAUUAACAGUGUAUGAUGCCUGUUACUAGCAUUCACAUGGAACAAAUUGCUGCCGUGGGAGGAUGACAAAGAAGCAUGAGUCACCCUGCUGGAUAAACUUAGACUUCAGGCUUUAUCAUUUUUCAAUCUGUUAAUCAUAAUCUGGUCACUGGGAUGUUCAACCUUAAACUAAGUUUUGAAAGUAAGGUUAUUUAAAAGAUUUAUCAGUAGUAUCCUAAAUGCAAACAUUUUCAUUUAAAUGUCAAGCCCAUGUUUGUUUUUAUCAUUAACAGAAAAUAUAUUCAUGUCAUUCUUAAUUGCAGGUUUUGGCUUGUUCAUUAUAAUGUUCAUAAACACCUUUGAUUCAACUGUUAGAAAUGUGGGCUAAACACAAAUUUCUAUAAUAUUUUUGUAGUUAAAAAUUAGAAGGACUACUAACCUCCAGUUAUAUCAUGGAUUGUCUGGCAACGUUUUUUAAAAGAUUUAGAAACUGGUACUUUCCCCCAGGUAACGAUUUUCUGUUCAGGCAACUUCAGUUUAAAAUUAAUACUUUUAUUUGACUCUUAAAGGGAAACUGAAAGGCUAUGAAGCUGAAUUUUUUUAAUGAAAUAUUUUUAACAGUUAGCAGGGUAAAUAACAUCUGACAGCUAAUGAGAUAUUUUUUCCAUACAAGAUAAAAAGAUUUAAUCAAAAAAUUUCAUAUUUGAAAUGAAGUCCCAAAUCUAGGUUCAAGUUCAAUAGCUUAGCCACAUAAUACGGUUGUGCGAGCAGAGAAUCUACCUUUCCACUUCUAAGCCUGUUUCUUCCUCCAUAUGGGGAUAAUACUUUACAAGGUUGUUGUGAGGCUUAGAUGAGAUAGAGAAUUAUUCCAUAAGAUAAUCAAGUGCUACAUUAAUGUUAUAGUUAGAUUAAUCCAAGAACUAGUCACCCUACUUUAUUAGAGAAGAGAAAAGCUAAUGAUUUGAUUUGCAGAAUAUUUAAGGUUUGGAUUUCUAUGCAGUUUUUCUAAAUAACCAUCACUUACAAAUAUGUAACCAAACGUAAUUGUUAGUAUAUUUAAUGUAAACUUGUUUUAACAACUCUUCUCAACAUUUUGUCCAGGUUAUUCACUGUAACCAAAUAAAUCUCAUGAGUCUUUAGUUGAUUUAAAAUAAUUUUUAUGGCCCAUUUUCUUUUGCAAAGUACAAAUUAUAAUUCCAGAAGCUAUCUGCCAAAAAAAGACAAUGGAAGAAAAUUAUGAGGACACUAAAGGGAACAUUCCUGACUCCUAGGACACAGUAUUCUCAUGUAAGAAUACCCAUUUGGCUUUGCCCCACUUUCUGUUCAAGUUGUAUGUGCUGCCAAGACAAAUUUCUUCUCCUCACUUUCUGUUCAAGUUGUAUGUGCUGCCAACACAAAUUUCUUCUCCUAACACCUGGAAUGAGCUUGUGGCUCCACGGAGCUCCCAUGUAGGUAGAACACAUUCAAGAGUGUUUCUUCAGGCCAGGCACAGUGGCUCACGCCUAUAAUUCCAACACUUUGGGAGGCCAAGGCGGGUGGUUCACUUGAGGUCAGGAGUUCUACACUACCCUGGCCAACAUAGUGAAACCUCGUCUCUACUAAAAAUACAAAAAUUAGCUAGGCAUGGUGGUGCGUGCCUGUAAUCCCAGAUACUCAGGAGGCUGGGGCAGAAGAAUCACUUGAACCCAGGAGGUGGAGUUCACAGUGAACGAAGAUCGUGCCACUGCCCUCCAGCCUGGGUGACAGAGUGAGACUCCAUCUCAAAAAAAAAAAAAAGUGUCUGUUCAAUUCAUUUUAUCUGCCACUGUAUAUCUACAAGAGGACUCCUUGCUUUGAGUCCCAGUUCUUCAAAAUCCUGCUUGCUGCCUAAAGACACAAAGUCAUAGAACAUUAGGACUGGAAUAAACUAUUGUAGUAUAACCUUCCUGCUGUUACAAUAAAAAGCUAUAAACAUUACAAAGGCACUUAAAGAAAAGCUGUGCUGGGAAAUGCCUUAUUUGAAGAGCAUUUGGGUACACUCACAUGAAGCUUUGGAAAGUUACUUAAUCUUCCUCUAAGCCUCAAUUUCUUCAUCAAUAAAAUGAUGAAUAUAUUUCAUAUUUCAUAAGAUGUAGGCUUAAAUGAAAUCAUGCAUGUGAAAAGCACAAUGUCUAUUAUGCAUUAAGUGUUAAACACAAACUUUCAAACUUUUACAUUUCAGUCAUUUAAAUCAAAUGAUCUACCAUAGCAGAUCUCCCCAAAGACACUCUAGCUCCAAACUAACUAUAAUCAAUCCCGUGGUGACGACCCAAAGAACCAGGGUUCCUGGGUUUUCUCUCACGCCCAGCCCACCUAGGCUUCUGACUGCCUAUCUCCUCAUCUUAGAGGGAUUCCUCCUGACCAGUCAUUACAAAAAUUCUUGGAGCAUGAGCAAGACUGAGUCUGUGUUUGGAUUGGAGGAAGGGGUAAGUAACAAGGUAUAUAUAUGUAUAUGUGUGUGUGUGUGUGUGUGUGUGUGUGUGUGUGUGUGCGCGCGCGUUUGUGUUUAAGUUACAAACUAAGGAUGGUUUUAAAAAAUUGCAAAAUGUUAAGAGAUUUAUCUAGGAUCUGACCCACUUCCCCAGAAAUUUACGGAAUUCAAGACCAAGCCUUUCGUAUUCACUGUCAUCAGUUAGAUGGACCCAGUAGCUAAAAAAUUAAGGAGAAAAAAAAUAGAGGAAUAUGAGGGAAAAAGUCAAGUCAGAGGACUGAAGAAUAUAUACAGAACAUAGAAUAUUAGAAAUUUUCUGAAAAUAGAUGAUAGCAAAUACCUCAAGAAAGUGAGGAAACGUGAAAAGGGAGCUUAAAGAAAAAUAAUAGAGUCCAUACAUGGGACACAAGCACAAAAAGCUGACUGAGCAUGUGGUUCUCUACUAAUAAUAACUGGAAAACAGUGAAACCAGCAGGAAAAACUUGCACAUAAGAGUUUAACUUUCCACUUUGGGUUUCAAAUUCUCCCAUAGCAAUAAGAGUAAGUGAAAUAAUGUUCACAUAAGGAUUUUUUUUUUUUCUAUUACUGUAGUGUUUUGUUUUGUUUUGUUUUGGUUUUGGUUUUUGGUGGUUUUUUUUUUUUUGAGACAAAGUCUCGCUCUUGUCCCCCAGUCUGGAGUGCAAUGUCAUGAUCUUGGCUCACUGCAACCUCCGCCUCCCGGGUUCAAGUGAUUCUCCUGCCUCAGCCUCCCAAGUGGCUGGGAUUACAGGUGCGUACCACCACGCCCAGCUAAUUUUUUGUAUUUUAAGCAGAGACGGGGUUUCACCAUGUUGGCCAGGCUGGUCUCGAACUCCUGACCUCAGGUGAUCCAUCCAUCUCAGCCUCCCAAAGUGCUGGGAUUACAGGUGUGAGCCACCGCACCCGGCCUGUUACUGUAGUGUUUUAACAAAUCUAAGUGUAAUAGUAUUAGUCUUCAUUCAUCUAAGACAUACAAGUACUGGAAUUUUUUAGGUGGGUUCCUCAAAUGUCAUCACAGUGGUGUCUUCUCUACAUUCAGUCACUCUUCCGCCCUUCUCUGUAAUGCUCAGGGAUUUCCCAGUUCACUAGCACUUAACAUAGUAUGUCCUUACUUACUUUGGGGUAUAAAUGACUGCAAUAGAAGAAGUGAUAUCCUUGAGGGAUGAAACACGAUCUUGCAUAUUCAUAUCCCUUUCAAAUGUUUACUGACUUAAUCACACCAUUAGUUUUCUAAGUCCAAGUCUAAAAACAGAAAUGAGUUUAAAUACAGUGAACAUUUCAUUUUCACUAUACCACUAAGCUGAAAGAAAUGAUUUUUGGUAAAUAAAAGUUCAUCACAGUGAAAAGUUCUACAUAUAACUGAAGAUCAAAGGAUUCUCACCUGGGAAGCUUGUCAAGAUGCAUGUUCCCAAGCUCCCAGGCUCCCACUCCCAGAGAUUCUAAUACUGUAAUGGAGCUGAGGACACUACAUUUUUAACAGGCUGACCAGGUAGUUCAGAUUCAGGUGGUUCCUAAACCAACUCUGAGGAAGUAGUGGUUUUAUAUACGAUGCUACUGUUGAUGUGGCUACUAGGAAUGGUGCUCAGCAGAAAUCCUGCAACAUAUGGAUCUGUUUACACACUAUUCACUGUGUAAUGAGAGUCUGCAACAUAGGCUAAGUAAUAAGAGAUGUCUUGUGGUUGACCUCUCUGGAGAUAAGCAGCAAUGAAAUUCCAAUGAAGUUUCAUCAUCUCUCAUCACCAAAACCAUCCUAACCACCUCAAUAAAAUACACCUGACUUCCCCCGCUCCCCCGACCCACCACCCCAAAACCAGCUGCCCUAUGUUCUACCAAAAGCUGCAACCAACCAAUGACCUGAUACUAACCCCAAUCUAUCAGCUGCUGCCUAGUGCAACAGAGAGGGAAAGUCAAUGAGAAGGAAUUGGGUGCCAGUUCUUGCUUUGCAAGGAGUGGGUUGACUAAUGAGACAGCCACAAAUGUCACUGCCAUCCCAUCUCACCCUUUCACCUGUGCUGCAAGGCUUCAACAAUCAUACCCAGUCUCCACUUAGGAAAAUUCUGUCCUUUCUCAAAUGCUGGCCACUCAGCAAUGUGCUCCCUUAAUCCAGGCCAAGCACAUAGUAAAAGAACUCCAAAAAGGGUUACAGCCAAAAGUGAUCUUUCUCCUCCAUACUCCCAAAGCAGAUUAUAGCUCCUCCAUAAACGUGCUUCGCAUUGUGCCCCACGUUUGGUUUGUUACUUGUGUAUACAUUAUCGUCUCUUCUAGAUUGAGCUUCUGUAGGAAAGGAGAAUCCUUUUCAAUUUUUUGGUAUUACACCCAGCUCAGGACCUUGCUCAGUUGCUUAAAUUGAAUGAGAAAAUGUAUCUAAGUACCCACUGAUGUUGGAAAUUCAACUUGUUCCAAUAUUGAGGACUGCCUAUACCUGGCAUAUGCGUGUCCCAAUUUGAGAAAUUGUUUUUCAAGUUGACUUGUAUGGAUUCCUUACAGACGCUCAAGCAUCAGUUUGGUUUUCCCUAAAUCCUGCAGAUCAGGAAGGCAGUAUCCAUGUUUG